Molecule: ribosomal RNA, 468 nt
Filed under: uncultured bacterium
Lineage: Bacteria
Description: partial 16S ribosomal RNA
Rfam family: Bacterial small subunit ribosomal RNA
Source: RNAcentral
GACGAACGCUGGCGGCGUGCUUAACACAUGCAAGUCGAACGGAAAGGCCCUGCUUUUGUGGGGUGCUCGAGUGGCGAACGGGUGAGUAACACGUGAGUAACCUGCCCUUGACUUUGGGAUAACUUCAGGAAACUGGGGCUAAUACCGGAUAGGAGCUCCUGCUGCAUGGUGGGGGUUGGAAAGUUUCGGCGGUUGGGGAUGGACUCGCGGCUUAUCAGCUUGUUGGUGGGGUAGUGGCUUACCAAGGCUUUGACGGGUAGCCGGCCUGAGAGGGUGACCGGUCACAUUGGGACUGAGAUACGGCCCAGACUCCUACGGGAGGCAGCAGUGGGGAAUAUUGCACAAUGGGCGGAAGCCUGAUGCAGCAACGCCGCGUGCGGGAUGACGGCCUUCGGGUUGUAAACCGCUUUCGCCUGUGACGAAGCGUGAGUGACGGUAAUGGGUAAAGAAGCGCCGGCUAACUACGUG